GAUGAAGAACGCAGCGAAAUGCGAUAAGUAAUGUGAAUUGCAGAAUUCAGUGAAUCAUCGAAUCUUUGAACGCACAUUGCGCCCCCUGGUAUUCCGGGGGGCAUGCCUGUUCGAGCGUCAUUUCACCACUCAAGCCUCGCUUGGUAUUGGGCAACGCGGUCCGCCGCGUGCCUCAAAUCGACCGGCUGGGUCUUCUGUCCCCUAAGCGUUGUGGAAACUAUUCGCUAAAGGGUGCUCGGGAGGCUACGCCGUAAAACAAACCCAUUUCUAAGGUUGACCUCGGAUCAGGUAGUGAUACCCGCUGAACUUAAGCAUAUCAAUAAGCGGAGGA
Molecule: unclassified non-coding RNA, 331 nt
Filed under: soil metagenome
Description: partial contains 5.8S ribosomal RNA, internal transcribed spacer 2, and large subunit ribosomal RNA
Rfam family: 5.8S ribosomal RNA (bases 1-120)
Source: RNAcentral